RNAcentral lists this long non-coding RNA (203 nucleotides) under Nicotiana benthamiana. RNAcentral's name for it is "long non-coding RNA (NBEN_LNC025984)". Lineage: Eukaryota; Viridiplantae; Streptophyta; Magnoliopsida; Solanales; Solanaceae. The record is from RNAcentral.
AUCAAGAAACUUCUCAUAGAGUUCUUAAUACGUAAUAGUGGAGUCACAACACGAAUUCCAACAUGAAUCUCACAAAAUUCUGGUCCUAGACCAUUCAAGAUCUUAACAAUGAGUUCCGAGUUUGUGACUGGGGAACUAGUAGUGGAGUUCGUCAGCCAUGGAUCGAAUAUUUUGAAAAUACUCAUUGAUUGGUGGGAGUCUUU